UACAGGGGGGGCAAGCGUUGUUCGGAAUUACUGGGCGUAAAGGGCUCGUAGGUGGCCGACUAAGUCAGUCGUGAAAUCCCUCAGCUUAACUGGGGAACUGCGUCUGAUACUGGAUGGCUUGAGUUUGGGAGAGGGAUGCGGAAUUCCAGGUGUAGCGGUGAAAUGCGUAGAUAUCUGGAGGAACACCGGUGGCGAAGGCGGCAUCCUGGACCAACACUGACACUGAGGAGCGAAAGCCAGGGGAGCAAACGGG
Molecule: ribosomal RNA, 253 nt
Filed under: uncultured bacterium
Lineage: Bacteria
Description: partial 16S ribosomal RNA
Rfam family: Bacterial small subunit ribosomal RNA
Source: RNAcentral